Molecule: long non-coding RNA, 676 nt
Filed under: Numida meleagris (helmeted guineafowl)
Lineage: Eukaryota; Metazoa; Chordata; Aves; Galliformes; Numididae
Description: lncRNA (ENSNMEG00000017727.1)
Source: RNAcentral
CUUGUGUGGAACCUUAAUUGUGAACCCUGUGGAAAACAAGUAAAUGAACACUCGAGAUUUCCUCUCAGAAGGGGCUGCAUUUUCAUGUUUCAAGGCACACUACGGACACAGUACAGCCAUUUCCCCUGGGGUGCUUUGCCAAGUGAAAUGAUGUGGAAAAGAGUGUGCUAGCAGAAGUAUGAGCUUCUGAUCAAGCCUCAGAGGAAACAGACGUAUCUGGAAGGGAAAGGAGAAACAGUCUACAUUGAAUCCUUCAGAUUUGGAAAGAAGACUAUACAAAGAACUAAUCUCAGAGCCACUGGAUAUACAUAUUGAGAGGGCGAAACAGCGUGAUCCUUUUCCUUGAAAUCUGAGGCCAAAAAAUAGAGGAUUGCUGUCACUAGGCGACACCACAGAUGCAGUUACUAAAAUAUUAAUAGGGAGCAAGAAACCUGAGUAGACCACAGCUCUUUCACAUCUUGAUGAGUUGUCAAGGAUGUCCUCAUACCUCUUUUUGGAGCUGUCAUUAAAAAAAACUAUUUUUUUUUACUUCUACCCAUGACUUUUCCUUAGCAGUAGUAUCACGAGGGUGGUCUUUUUUAAAGCUGCAUUAAAAAUGCUUAUUUAUUUGAUGGAUUAAAGUUGCAGUGUCCAGAGAAGUACAUACCCUAAUAAAACACAGAUGUACCUUUAAGCA